UUGGAGGGCAAGUCUGGUGCCAGCAGCCGCGGUAAUUCCAGCUCCAAUAGCGUAUAUUAAAGUUGUUGCAGUUAAAAAGCUCGUAGUUGAAUUUCGGGAUCGGUGGGUCGGUCGUGCCUCCGGUACGCACUGUCUUUACCGGUUCCUCCCUUCUGAAGAACCGCGAUGUCAUUAAUUUGGUGUUGCGGGGAAUCAGGACUGUUACUGUGAAAAAAUUAGAGUGUUUAAAGCAGGCUAACGCUUGAAUACAUUAGCAUGGAAUAAUGAAAUAGGACGUUCGAUCUUAUUUUGUUGGUUUCUAAGAUUGACGUAAUGAUUAAUAGGGAUAGUUGGGGGCAUUAGUAUUCAAUUGUCAGAGGUGAAAUUCUUGGAUUUAUUGAAGACUAACUACUGCGAAAGCAUUUGCCAAGGAUGUUUUCAUUAAUCAAGAACGAAAGUUAGGGGAUCGAAGACGAUCAGAUACCGUCGUAGUCUUAACCAUAAACUAUGCCGACUAGGGAUCGGAUGAUGUUAAUUUUUAAUGACUCAUUCGGCGCCUUACGGGUAAC
RNAcentral lists this ribosomal RNA (548 nucleotides) under uncultured Glomus. RNAcentral describes it as "SSU rRNA". It matches the Rfam family "Eukaryotic small subunit ribosomal RNA", at positions 548 to 1098 of the family's 1831-position model. The record is from RNAcentral. Lineage: Eukaryota; Fungi; Glomeromycota; Glomeromycetes; Glomerales; Glomeraceae.